AACGCUGGCGGUAGGCCUAACACAUGCAAGUCGAACGGCCGCACAGUAAGAGCUUGCUCUUACGGGUGGCGAGUGGCGGACGGGUGAGGAAUACAUCGGAAUCUACUUUUUCGUGGGGGAUAACGUAGGGAAACUUACGCUAAUACCGCAUACGACCUACGGGUGAAAGCAGGGGAUCUUCGGACCUUGCGCGAUUGAAUGAGCCGAUGUCGGAUUAGCUAGUUGGCGGGGUAAAGGCCCACCAAGGCGACGAUCCGUAGCUGGUCUGAGAGGAUGAUCAGCCACACUGGAACUGAGACACGGUCCAGACUCCUACGGGAGGCAGCAGUGGGGAAUAUUGGACAAUGGGCGCAAGCCUGAUCCAGCCAUACCGCGUGGGUGAAGAAGGCCUUCGGGUUGUAAAGCCCUUUUGUUGGGAAAGAAAAGCAGCAGGUUAAUACCCCGCUGUUCUGACGGUACCCAAAGAAUAAGCACCGGCUAACUUCGUG
Molecule: ribosomal RNA, 488 nt
Filed under: uncultured bacterium
Lineage: Bacteria
Description: partial 16S ribosomal RNA
Rfam family: Bacterial small subunit ribosomal RNA
Source: RNAcentral